AUUGAACGCUGGCGGCAUGCCUUACACAUGCAAGUCGAACGGCAGCACGGGUGCUUGCACCUGGUGGCGAGUGGCGAACGGGUGAGUAAUACAUCGGAACGUACCUUAUCGUGGGGGAUAACGCAGCGAAAGCUGUGCUAAUACCGCAUACGCCCUGAGGGGGAAAGCGGGGGAUCGAAAGACCUCGCGCGAUUAGAGCGGCCGAUGCCUGAUUAGCUUGUUGGUGGGGUAAAAGCCCACCAAGGCGACGAUCAGUAGCUGGUCUGAGAGGACGAUCAGCCACACUGGGACUGGGACACGGCCCAGACUCCUACGGGAGGCAGCAGUGGGGAAUUUUGGACAAUGGGGGCAACCCUGAUCCAGCAAUGCCGCGUGAGUGAAGAAGGCCUUCGGGUUGUAAAGCUCUUUUGUCAGGGAAGAAACACCGGCUCUAACACAGUCCGGGAAUGACGGUACCUGAAGAAUGAGCACCGGCUAACUACGUGCCAGCCGCCGCGGUAA
RNAcentral lists this ribosomal RNA (501 nucleotides) under uncultured bacterium. Its description in RNAcentral is "partial 16S ribosomal RNA". It matches the Rfam family "Bacterial small subunit ribosomal RNA", at positions 29 to 523 of the family's 1533-position model. The record is from RNAcentral.